Molecule: transfer RNA, 73 nt
Filed under: Serratia sp. (in: enterobacteria)
Lineage: Bacteria; Pseudomonadati; Pseudomonadota; Gammaproteobacteria; Enterobacterales; Yersiniaceae
Description: Serratia sp. (metagenome) tRNA-Ser
Rfam family: tRNA
About the family: Transfer RNA (tRNA) molecules are approximately 80 nucleotides in length. Their secondary structure includes four short double-helical elements and three loops (D, anti-codon, and T loops).
Source: RNAcentral
GGAGCGGUAGUUCAGUUGGUUNNCCUGCCUGUCACGCAGGGGGUCGCGGGUUCGAGCCCCGUCCGUUCCGCCA